Brassica napus (rape) is the source of this 1920-nucleotide long non-coding RNA. RefSeq lists it as uncharacterized. The record is from RefSeq and is a predicted model, not a curated record. Lineage: Eukaryota; Viridiplantae; Streptophyta; Magnoliopsida; Brassicales; Brassicaceae. The transcript is spliced from 2 exons.
GGCCAUAUUGAAGAAGAUAUGGUGAUACCGACGAUGAGGACGACGUUACCACAUGUGUUUGAGUCGUUAGUUUUUUUUUGGUUUUAAUCUAAGUUAGUGGUACGAGUUUUAUUACUUUAGGUGUUACGUCUUUACUUAAUUUUGGUUUUCUAAAGUCAAUAGCUUUAUUAAUUUGGUUUUGAAUUCACGUCUUUAGUCAAAGUUAGAAUAUCAUGGGCAGCGCUGAUCAUGGGUUUAUGUGUAAGAGUUAAUCGGAAGAUUUUUUAAAGGUGAUUCCUAGGUUUAGGUUUCUCAUGGGUUGUUUUAUGAGAUUUAUUCUAUGGUUUAGAAUGUCUCAAAGAUUGUGUUUUAAUUUUCCAUAGUUUGGAAAAUUUGUUGGUUAUAGUUUUUAACCAUUACGGGGAAGUUCUAGUAGAACGCUUUACGUCAAGUUGUUUAGUCCAAGUUAUGGACUGUCCGAGUUAAGGACAAUUGUUUGUGGAGUUGCAGUUGCGCUCACGGGAUAUAUUCCUAUUGUCAAAAUCAAAGAAGAGUUGAAGUUUUGUCUUCCUUGUCUAAAGUUGAAGUUGAAGUUUUUAUCCGGAGGAGUUUACUGAAUCUUUUCCUCGACAAUAUUGUCCACGUCAUACAUGGUCUGCUUUGUGAUGCAGCUUUGCGUGUUGCAUCCCACGUUUAUCGUGCGGGGGAGUAUUGGAGAUAUAUUGGAGAGCAAGAUGUGUAUCUUGCGAACCAAUUGUUAUGGACCGUUGAAGUCCGAUUAUGAAGUGAAGCCCAUGAAGUCUAUGAAACCCAAACCGAAGAAUAUUAUAUAAAUCCACUUAUGAUAAGGAUUAGUUAUUUUAGAUAUAUAUCAUAAGAUUUAGAUAAGUUCUAUUUUUAGUUGAGAUAGGUCUAAGUAUUGUGUAUAUAUACAACUCUCUUGUAAAUCACUAAGAAACAACACAAUAAUAUAUCUAUUCUAUUAUACUUUACAUGUACUCAUAUAAAUGAGCUUCAUAUCUUCUUUUUUUGUGCAACAGAAUACUUAUCAUUAAAAAGGCAAUUAAGGCCCAAGGUUUAGAGAUACAAUGGUUGAUAAUUGGGCUUUCGCAAGCCCAUUGGCCAGGGUAUUCAGCCUGUGGAAUGAAAUUAAACCGACAGAAAGAAAACGGAGAAGCAUAGGAGAAAGCUAGAGAGUCGGCAUCUGAUAGAACGCCGAAGAGAUCCAUCGUCUGUUUCCUCUGUGUGAUUGCUCUGUGGAGCACUUGAGAAUCUGUUCGAAGACAGAUGUUGGUGAAGCCUACUGCGUUCAGGAGGGCUCCUCGGAUUGCUAAGGCCUCAGCCAUGCAAGGAGAGGAUACAUGUGUCUAAGGCUACAGAUUUGCGCGCAAGCUCUGAUGAUUCUUGGUCCAUGAAGAGCCAGGCCAAACCAGCCGAAUUUGAUUUCCAGGAGAUAGUAGAAUCAGGGAGAUCAAGAGGUCGAGGCUUGAUUGGCAAUUGGGUGACCCUUUUGGUCAAUGAGAUGUACCAGGCGAUCCAUGGGAGAAGGUUCCCUACAACCCCAGUUGGGGGAAGGUUCUUGGCUGAUUGCGAGGCCUAUAGGAUGGUGAUGAAAGCUGAGUCUGGUUGAAUGGUCAGGGCGAGGUCCAAGGCACCAUAGUCCAGAUCUCCUUCGCAAAAGUGCAGUGGAGGAGGAUGUGGUCUAGCGUCUCUGGUUCUCCGCAUCGACAACGCCUGGUGUUGUUGAGCAUACCUCUCCUUUGAAGAUUUUCAUAUCUAAAAUGUUUUAUUUCAAAUAUUAUACCAGAUCAAGUGGAUACACGAUAUAUAUAUAUGGUCAUUUUAUGUAUAUAUGGUCAUGUUUGUUUGCAAGGUGUUAGUGGCAAUAACCAGCAACAACGAUUAACAAUAUCGAUCGAUCAAAUAUUGUUUUUUGUUCGU